GCGUGUUCUGAGCCUGGGAGGAACGCCAGCGCUGUCCAUCAAAGCCCAGGUGGUCCAGCACCUGUUCCAUCCUCCAUCCUGCAGAAGUCAGGGACCCAGCAUGAUUGGCUUCCUCAGGGGAAACUUGUCACUGUGGAGAGUGACAAUGGCCACCAUUCGAGAUUCUGUAAGGAUUCUGUCCUUAAUUACAUCAUCAGCCUGCAACGGCAUCCCAGCCUAAAAAGCAGCAUUCUCCUCUGCCAGCAUGGCCGCUGCGGGCGGUGGCCAGCCAUGAGGAGCAGCAGCGCCACAGCAUAACCAACAUUGGUGCCAAAACCCGGGAUAGACCACCGAGGACCUGCUGACUGCUGCCGCUUCCCACCUCCUCCCCCAUCCAGCGAGACCGCGAGACCGCAAGCGCGUGCGUUCCUGGCCUCCGCUGGACCCCUACACAGCUUCCACUACUCCUACUGCCAUGAUUCUUCUGAUUCUUCACAGUGAGUCUGCAGUUCUCAUGGCUGUAGUCUGAGUUAUAUUCUUUGUGAUGGACACCCCGGGGGUUGUCCUCGGGCUGUACUGGCAACGGCAGGCACAUUUUCGCUCCUGACGAGGGGUUCAAUGCUGUCUCGGGUCUACCGGGUGGACCAACUGCAGUGCAGCCACAGCCCUUCCCAUCCCUUGACGAAGAGGAUGGCGAACUUGAGCUGAUUCUUAGAUCUCUCUUCACUCUCGGGGACGCCCGAGAUUGGAGUCUAAUCCCGGUUUGUUAUUUUAAUUUUUUAUUUUUCUCUUGGCUACAGCCAUGAGACAAAGGGGCGGAUACAUUUACCACCUACAUUGGUGGAUGGGACAGGCACCGGUAAACCUGGCUGCAUAACAGAGUCGCAGGAACUUCUGCCAGUGAGCAGGCAAAUAAGAGUUACUUUAUCUCUAAGCUUUCUGCUAAAGCACUAAACCCUUCUCCUUCCCCACUUCUGCGUCUGCCAUGUGCAACCUUUUCUGUCUGACUUCCGCCAGCAGUGGGCGGGCUCAAAUGGGCGGGCUUGGGUGGUUUCUACGACUUGCCCUAACUCACCUUAACUCUACCCACUCAUUCUCACGUGCAUAUAGACAGGGCCCUGAUCUUUGCCUUGUCCCUAAUUCCAAAAAAUAAAUUCUCAUGCACCACAAGCUUUUCUCUUCCCAGUUCCCUGUUCUAACUCACUGUUCAGCUAAUGGGACAGGACCACCACAGAACUGGAGUCAAGAGAUCAUCAACAUCUUGUCAAACAGAAAGUUCCCAGCCACAGCCAAGAGGGAUACAUGUUUCCAGAGCAAACAGAUGACAGACAGCAUCCCACAACGCCUGUCUGCCUCGGAAGACUUCCCCAAGAGCCAACCGACGUCCAAUUGUCAGCUGGAAGCAGUUCUUGAGGGGAACGACGCCCCUAGUCCCAUCUACCUGCUUUUUUUAUAAUAAGCGAAAGUCUGGGAUGUAAGGAUUCUGUCCUUAAUUACGUCAUCAGCCUGCAACGGCAUCCCAGCCUAAAAAGCGGGUGGGCCCUCUAUGUGUCCCUCUCUUUCCUUUCUGCUCCUUCCUUCCAUCUGCCUCUCUCUCUCUCCUCCCUCCCUCUCUCU
Long non-coding RNA from Peromyscus californicus insignis, 1596 nucleotides. RefSeq lists it as uncharacterized. NCBI's taxonomy places the organism in Eukaryota, Metazoa, Chordata, Mammalia, Rodentia, Cricetidae. The record is from RefSeq and is a predicted model, not a curated record. The transcript has 3 exons.